Molecule: ribosomal RNA, 157 nt
Filed under: uncultured bacterium
Lineage: Bacteria
Description: partial 16S ribosomal RNA
Rfam family: Bacterial small subunit ribosomal RNA
Source: RNAcentral
UUGGUACGGGAGGCAGCAGUAGGGAAUCUUCGGCAAUGGACGGAAGUCUGACCGAGCAACGCCGCGUGAGUGAAGAAGGUUAGGUAUGUAUACUUAUUUGCAUGUAUCACAUGAAUAAGGACCGGCUAAUUCCGUGCCAGCAGCCGCGGUAAUCCAA